RNAcentral lists this ribosomal RNA (253 nucleotides) under uncultured bacterium. RNAcentral describes it as "partial 16S ribosomal RNA". It matches the Rfam family "Bacterial small subunit ribosomal RNA", at positions 524 to 776 of the family's 1533-position model. The record is from RNAcentral.
UACGUAGGGUGCGAGCGUUAAUCGGAAUUACUGGGCGUAAAGCGUGCGCAGGCGGUUCGUGAUGUCUGAUGUGAAAGCCCCGGGCUCAACCUGGGAACUGCAUUGGAAACUAGCGGGCUGGAGUGUGGCAGAGGGGGGUGGAAUUCCACGUGUAGCAGUGAAAUGCGUAGAGAUGUGGAGGAACACCGAUGGCGAAGGCAGCUCGCUGGGACGUAACUGACGCUGAGACGCGAAAGCGUGGGGAGCAAACAGG